RNAcentral lists this non-coding RNA (21 nucleotides) under Caenorhabditis elegans. The record is from RNAcentral. Lineage: Eukaryota; Metazoa; Nematoda; Chromadorea; Rhabditida; Rhabditidae.
UUACAAUUGAAUUAAAAUUAU